UGAGGAAUAUUGGUCAAUGGACGAGAGUCUGAACCAGCCAAGUCGCGUGAAGGAAGAAUGUCCUAUGGAUUGUAAACUUCUUUUGCAGGGGAAUAAAGAGAUCCACGAGUGGGUUAUUGCAAGUACUCUGCGAAUAAGGAUCGGCUAACUCCGUGCCAGCAGCCGCGGUAAUACGGAGGAUCCGAGCGUUAUCCGGAUUUAUUGGGUUUAAAGGGGUGCGUAGGUGGAUAGAUAAGUCAGCGGUGAAAUUUUGAGCUAACUGAAGAAUUGCCGUUGAAACUGUUUAUCUUGAGUGCAAAUGAGGUAUGCGGAAUGUGUUGUGUAGCGGUGAAAUGCAUAGAUAUAACACAGAACACCGAUUGCGAAGGCAGCGUACUGGGAUGCAACUGACACUGAGGCACGAAGGCGUGGGGAUCAAACAGGAUUAGAUACCCUGGUAGUCCACGCAGUAAACGAUGAAUACUAGCUGUUUGCGAUAUACAGUAAGCGGUACAGCGAAAGCGUUAAGUAUUCCACCUGGGGAGUACGACCGCAAGGUUGAAACUCAAAGGAAUUGACGGGGUCAUAGCUGUUUCC
RNAcentral lists this ribosomal RNA (576 nucleotides) under uncultured bacterium. RNAcentral describes it as "partial 16S ribosomal RNA". It matches the Rfam family "Bacterial small subunit ribosomal RNA", at positions 355 to 937 of the family's 1533-position model. The record is from RNAcentral.